UUUAUGGAGAGUUUGAUCCUGGCUCAGGAUGAACGCUGGCGGCGUGCCUAAUACAUGCAAGUCGAGCGAACGGACGAGAAGCUUGCUUCUCUGAUGUUAGCGGCGGACGGGUGAGUAACACGUGGAUAACCUACCUAUAAGACUGGGAUAACUUCGGGAAACCGGAGCUAAUACCGGAUAAUAUUUUGAACCGCAUGGUUCAAAAGUGAAAGACGGUCUUGCUGUCACUUAUAGAUGGAUCCGCGCUGCAUUAGCUAGUUGGUAAGGUAACGGCUUACCAAGGCAACGAUGCAUAGCCGACCUGAGAGGGUGAUCGGCCACACUGGAACUGAGACACGGUCCAGACUCCUACGGGAGGCAGCAGUAGGGAAUCUUCCGCAAUGGGCGAAAGCCUGACGGAGCAACGCCGCGUGAGUGAUGAAGGUCUUCGGAUCGUAAAACUCUGUUAUUAGGGAAGAACAUAUGUGUAAGUAACUGUGCACAUCUUGACGGUACCUAAUCAGAAAGCCACGGCUAACUACGUGCCAGCAGCCGCGGUAAUACGUAGGUGGCAAGCGUUAUCCGGAAUUAUUGGGCGUAAAGCGCGCGUAGGCGGUUUUUUAAGUCUGAUGUGAAAGCCCACGGCUCAACCGUGGAGGGUCAUUGGAAACUGGAAAACUUGAGUGCAGAAGAGGAAAGUGGAAUUCCAUGUGUAGCGGUGAAAUGCGCAGAGAUAUGGAGGAACACCAGUGGCGAAGGCGACUUUCUGGUCUGUAACUGACGCUGAUGUGCGAAAGCGUGGGGAUCAAACAGGAUUAGAUACCCUGGUAGUCCACGC
This 817-nucleotide ribosomal RNA is filed under the name Staphylococcus aureus. RNAcentral describes it as "bacterial SSU rRNA". It matches the Rfam family "Bacterial small subunit ribosomal RNA", at positions 1 to 800 of the family's 1533-position model. Lineage: Bacteria; Bacillati; Bacillota; Bacilli; Caryophanales; Staphylococcaceae. The record is from RNAcentral.